This 465-nucleotide ribosomal RNA is filed under the name Vreelandella stevensii. RNAcentral describes it as "partial 16S ribosomal RNA". It matches the Rfam family "Bacterial small subunit ribosomal RNA", at positions 338 to 795 of the family's 1533-position model. Lineage: Bacteria; Pseudomonadati; Pseudomonadota; Gammaproteobacteria; Oceanospirillales; Halomonadaceae. The record is from RNAcentral.
CCUACGGGGGGCAGCAGUGGGGAAUAUUGGACAAUGGGCGAAAGCCUGAUCCAGCCAUGCCGCGUGUGUGAAGAAGGCCUUCGGGUUGUAAAGCACUUUCAGUGGGGAAGAAAGCCUUGGGGCUAAUACCCUCGAGGAAGGACAUCACCCACAGAAGAAGCACCGGCUAACUCCGUGCCAGCAGCCGCGGUAAUACGGAGGGUGCGAGCGUUAAUCGGAAUUACUGGGCGUAAAGCGCGCGUAGGCGGUCUGAUAAGCCGGUUGUGAAAGCCCCGGGCUCAACCUGGGAACGGCAUCCGGAACUGUCAGGCUAGAGUGCAGGAGAGGAAGGUAGAAUUCCCGGUGUAGCGGUGAAAUGCGUAGAGAUCGGGAGGAAUACCAGUGGCGAAGGCGGCCUUCUGGACUGACACUGACGCUGAGGUGCGAAAGCGUGGGUAGCAAACAGGAGUAGAUACCCCGGUAGUC